RNAcentral lists this ribosomal RNA (426 nucleotides) under uncultured bacterium. RNAcentral describes it as "bacterial SSU rRNA". It matches the Rfam family "Bacterial small subunit ribosomal RNA", at positions 354 to 796 of the family's 1533-position model. The record is from RNAcentral.
GUGGGGGAUAUUGCACAAUGGGGGAAACCCUGAUGCAGCGACGCCGCGUGAGGGAAGACGGCCUUCGGGUUGUAAACCUCUGUCUUUUGGGACGAAUGAAUGACGGUACCAAAAGAGGAAGCCACGGCUAACUACGUGCCAGCAGCCGCGGUAAUACGUAGGUGGCAAGCGUUGUCCGGAAUUACUGGGUGUAAAGGGAGCGUAGGCGGGAAUGCAAGUUGGAUGUCUAAACUAUCGGCUCAACCGGUAAUCGCAUCCAAAACUGUAUUUCUUGAGUGGAGUAGAGGCAGGCGGAAUUCCUAGUGUAGCGGUGAAAUGCGUAGAUAUUAGGAGGAACACCAGUGGCGAAGGCGGCCUGCUGGGCUCUAACUGACGCUGAGGCUCGAAAGCGUGGGUAGCAAACAGGAUUAGAAACCCUAGUAGUCC